This 497-nucleotide ribosomal RNA is filed under the name uncultured bacterium. RNAcentral's name for it is "partial 16S ribosomal RNA". It matches the Rfam family "Bacterial small subunit ribosomal RNA", at positions 28 to 507 of the family's 1533-position model. The record is from RNAcentral.
GAUGAACGCUGGCGGCGUGCCUAAUACAUGCAAGUCGAGCGAACGGACGAGAAGCUUGCUUCUCUGAUGUUAGCGGCGGACGGGUGAGUAACACGUGGAUAACCUACCUAUAAGACUGGGAUAACUUCGGGAAACCGGAGCUAAUACCGGAUGAUAUUUUGAACCGCAUGGUUCAAAAGUGAAAGACGGUCUUGCUGUCACUUAUAGAUGGAUCCGCGCUGCAUUAGCUAGUUGGUAAGGUAACGGCUUACCAAGGCAACGAUGCAUAGCCGACCUGAGAGGGUGAUCGGCCACACUGGAACUGAGACACGGUCCAGACUCCUACGGGAGGCAGCAGUAGGGAAUCUUCCGCAAUGGGCGAAAGCCUGACGGAGCAACGCCGCGUGAGUGAUGAAGGUCUUCGGAUCGUAAAACUCUGUUAGUAGGGAAGAACAGAUGUGUAAGUAACUGUGCACAUCUUGACGGUACCUAAUCAGAAAGCCACGGCUAACUACGUG